UUAAGUUCAGCGGGUAUCCCCACCUGAUCCGAGGCCAACCAUUGAUAAAUUUAGGGGGUCUAGGGCGGCCUCCUACCGAUCGUCCGCAAGCGAGGGUUUUGCUACGCUUGGAGUCCGGUCUGGGGCGCCCACGAGUUUCGGGCCCGCCGCACGGGCGGGGCCCAUCACCAAGCAAGGCUUGAGGUUUGUAAUGGCGCUCG
This 200-nucleotide unclassified non-coding RNA is filed under the name Venturiaceae sp. Its description in RNAcentral is "partial internal transcribed spacer 2". Lineage: Eukaryota; Fungi; Ascomycota; Dothideomycetes; Venturiales; Venturiaceae. The record is from RNAcentral.